Gossypium raimondii (Peruvian cotton) is the source of this 577-nucleotide long non-coding RNA. RefSeq lists it as uncharacterized. The record is from RefSeq and is a predicted model, not a curated record. NCBI's taxonomy places the organism in Eukaryota, Viridiplantae, Streptophyta, Magnoliopsida, Malvales, Malvaceae. The transcript is spliced from 4 exons.
UUUUAGGGUUUCGUUUAAUCAAAGGCCGUUGAAGGAGGACGAUUUAAUGGCAGCGAUGACGACGCAAGGGAUGGACCCAACAGUAGUAGACGAUAUAAUUAGACGGCUGACGGAAGUUCGGUCAACCAGGCCAGUGAAACAAGUUUGCUUGAACUCGAAGCACCCAUCAAAAUUUGCAGUGACAUACAUGGGCAAUAUAGUGACUUACUAAGGCUGUUCGAGUACGGGGGUUUUCCUCCUCAUGCUAAUUACCUAUUUCUAGGCGACUAUGUUGAUCGUGGCAAGAAGAGUUUGGAAACUUCUGGAGAUAACUGAGAAGUGGAACAUGGUUUGUCUGUAAAAUUGCAAGUUCAAAAGUUAAUUCUCCAAGCUACAUCACAUGAAAAUUUGUGCCAGAACUAUGUUGGGAAGGCACCUCAACAUAUUUUGAGCAUUGUUUUCGGGUUCAGUAGCAGCAAAUGAUGCCAAUGUGGCUGAGAUUGGUGCGGUGAAGAUUGCUCUAUAAUUUACAGCCAUAAUGUGAAUCUGAUGUCCAUCUAUAAGGGAUUGUCAGAUUAAGUGUCAACCUUAACUAGAA